Molecule: RNA transcript, 7682 nt
Organism: Acinonyx jubatus (cheetah)
Lineage: Eukaryota; Metazoa; Chordata; Mammalia; Carnivora; Felidae
Gene: ZNF644
Gene name: zinc finger protein 644
Exons: 8
Source: RefSeq, a predicted model, not a curated record
CCUUUUCCCGGCGGCGUCGGAGGAUCCGGUAGCGGACACAAAGGGGCUGAGCUGGGCACUAGACUUGGGGGUUUUGUUUAGUCACAUGAAGCCGAGCAGCCAGUGAGCAGUAGGGGGAAGGGGCCGAGAUCCGGCGGCUUGGGGAGCCUGGCGGUCGCCAUUGCAACGCACUGAGUAACGGGGCGGUCCGAGAGCAGUCACCAACCCCUCUCCGGGGCUGCUCGGUUUGGGCCAGAAGCGCCAGCUCUGGCAUUAACUGCACACACCCCUUCCCUUACGUGGGACCGGGACCGCAUAGACCUCCCCUCCCCCUGUUCUGCAAGAUCUUAUGCCGCUAGGUGCCUGGGAAGUAACAGCAAGAGGUAAAUCGCCCAAAGUGUUUGGGUUGCCAGGGGCUUGGUGGGUGUCCAGCUAAAGCUUUUUGCUUCUCCAGGUCUGAUUCCCUGGCCUUUGUGUCCCUGGGAGCUUAAUCUCUGCCAGAGGAAAGCAGGUGUGCUCCACUUCUCCCGUGAACCUGAAGAUGAGUUGUCCCAGACCCUUCUCAGUGAUUGGAAACUUAGGUGGUGGAGCUAAAGGUUUCUUGUUACGAGACUUCCACAGACGACUCUCGUGUUGGGAUCCAUCCAUGGUUUAGCAGCAUUAGUGGAAAACUUUCCUUGAACUGCCUAAGUAAUAUUGACAUAAAUUUAGUUGUUAUAAAACUUUCAUGUCUAGACUUCAAAUUUUGUGUGGUCAUUGAGAAGUACUCAACAAGGGGGUAAACACAAUGGGGGCCUAAAUGAUGGUCCUGUUUUGUAUACAAGUCAAUAAUUACAACAGGAAUACCAAAACACCAUCAUCUCUUCUGGCCAGUUCUGACUAAUGCCAGGCUUGUUGCAUCUGGAUGAUAGAUUAGAUUUGCCUUAAUAGUAUAUUGCCUCUCUGCAGUAGUUUAGUUACAUUUCUUUGGUCCAAGAAGAAGGAAAGCAUUUCAAAAAAUAGACAACUCAAGUUACUCAAAGGAAACCUGCUGUUUGCCUUCAGUGUCAUGUGUAAGUAUCCAGGGAAGUUGAUGGCAGUAAUACUGCUUUGGUAGCUUUGGUGAGAAAAAAUUAGUUUUUAUGAGGAAGUUAGAAUUUCGACAUUUUAAUAGGUGAAACAUGAAGGUUUGACCACUGUUGAUGCAGUGAUAUGUGUAUCCCUGUUAAAACCUCUGUAGUGUGGAUUUUAGAAUUGUAAAGUUACACUGCACUUACGGCUACCUCAUACUUUGUAUAUUGGUAUUAACUAAUGUUUGACGUACAGAAUUUGGAAACAACUAAUGUUUUGGCCAGGUCACGUUAACAAGAGUAAGUUAUGUGAUUGCAGGGUUAAAGCACAUUUGGAUUGUUAACUUUAGAUCUCUGUUCAAAUUAAAAUUUGAAUUUUUUAAUAUGACUUAAAACUUUCAUUUUCCUUGCUUCUUUCAGAUACAGAUUUUCCCCCUUUAACUUUUCAUCUUUUAAUAGAGAACACUCUUACUGUAUUAACGAAUAGGAGAUACAUCAACAUUGGCAAAAUGUGUUACUGAAUCAUGUGGUUUUGGAGUGGAAGGAAUCUCAGGGAACACCUAGUUUUACCCACUGUUUUAUAAUAUAUUAAUGACCAAGUAUGAUUAAGUUAGUGAAUAAUGGAAAAUUGUCUUUUCAACUUCUACCUCAUUGCUCUUUUCGUUGAUCACGUUGGUGGGAUGAAAAGGUGACUGCAGCUAAUGGUUAAAAUAAAACAUUUAAAUAAGUGUGCUUGAAAACACUUAUUAGAUACUAUUAUAUUAAUGAGAACUUCUGUGACAAGAAGUUAAAAAGUUUCAAUUAACAUGAUAUGGUGAUACAGUUGUGAAAGUGACUUUCAGUGAAAUAAUUUCAGAUAAAAUACAGACAUUUCAGAUAAUUUGGGGCCAACGUUGCUUUUGAAUUGUGAGGUUUUCAAAAAGCAGUCUUGACCCAGAAAUUAAAAAAAAACAAAAACAAAAAAACAGCUUGAUGAACUUCUUGGAAGAUUUGAAGUAAUUGCCAUUACUACAAAUUAUUACAUAAGAAAUGCGAUGCUGAAAACAGUAAUGCUAGUGCCUUCAUUUUGUAAUGGUAGCUUUUUUAUUGGGUGAAUGGACAUGACACUUAGAUUAGCCCUUGUUAAAAGCAACUUUUUAAGAUUCACUACUACUGAAUAGUAGUAGAUCUGUAAGAUCUGUUAGGAAAUUCAAAAGUAGCAAAAUCACUUAUGGUGGGAUCCCUCAGUUCUUUAACUUCUUUGGAUAUCAAAUGUAACAAAAACUAUUAAAUCAUAUUGAGGUUUUAAAGCUUUUAUUGGUCAUUUAGGGUACAUUUAAAUUAUUGAUUUUUCUAAGAACUACUUCUUAAUUUUCAACACUGAGUAGAUUUAAUUACAUUUUAGUCAUGUGAUAAAUCGGAUUAUUCUCAGAUUAUUAGUAAUUACAAAGUGAGUCUGUUAUCUGCAAACCUUAAAUAUUUUGCAGUUUUAAUUUGUUAUUCAAGUUAUAUGAGGAAGAGUUUUGGUGUGGUUGAAUUGAGACUGUAUUGGGUAGCAUGAGAAGAGGAGAGACUCAAGGACAGUCACUAGAAGUGGUGAGGAUACCUAAAAUUUAGACAGAUUGGUUGUCAGAAAAGAUCAGGUUUAUCCCAGAUAUACUAUUAGUGUUAGGGUUACCUAUUUAGACUCUUCUCAGGGUGUGGGACCAAAGGAAAAGAGUGGAUCUUAUUUUUGUAGGAAUGCUUUUCUCAUGAUUGCUUUUCAGGCAGCCUUAAAGGCAGCAGUUUGCCCUGAAUUCAGAAAUAGGUAUGCUGAAUUAUGCAGUCCUAAUUUUAUACCAGUCCUUUUAAAAAAGUGUUUUUAAUUUAAUUGAUAGCUGUAUACAAUAAAACAUGAGAAUAAAGAAUAGCAAUUAUGAUAUUUUGGGUAGGCAUUCAAAUGAGCUCUAGUUUUUUACACUUAUUAUCAUUAAUCCCUAUAAAGACUGUUUUGUAGAUGGAAUCUGUAAAUGUUUACAAAGUUAUGAGAUACAGCAACGAUUAAGGCAGUUCUAGAUGUAUUGUCUGUUAAUAGAGAGAAAUAGUUGCUUUUAAUAUUACAGACCAUUUACAUCUUUGAAUUUUCAGAAAAUUGACAGUAAUCAAUCUGAUUCUAGCACUAGCUCACCCUGCUGGUUGGCUGAAGUAUUUCUGUUCUUCUCUUAAAAACAAGUGUAAAGAUCACUUGAGACCUAGAAGGUAGAAUAGCAAAUUAAAUUCAUGGUCUUUCUUCAGGAAGGUGGGGGUCUCCAUGAAAAGGGUGUUUCUCAUCUCUAGGGUCGUAGUUGCUCUACUGUUAAUUUUUUUCUAAGAUCUGCCAAAUUUGAACUAUGGAGUUACUAUCUUUGAAUUUAGGAGGAACUCUUAAUUAUGGGGAGAUACUAUGUUUUUGUCCUUUUCAAGGACAGGAUUCAAGAUAGGACAUCCUUUGACAAUUGAGAAAUGUUAGCAAGAAAAACAAAAAGUCCUGUGACAUAACUUUCCAGGAGGAGAAAAGCAGAGGAUCUCAGGGGGAAGAAAAGAAGCAUGCCAGGACAGAAGCAGCAGUGCACACUUCUGGAUGGAGGAAAGUGAGGCUGGAUUAAGAUUAGUGUUUCUGAGAUAUUUCCUUUAUACUCUCCCUCUACUAAUCUUUGCUCUACUUCUUCUGUUUGCAAGCUGUAGCCUUCCCAUUUCAUUUGGGAUUCUUGGAACUGUGAUCUUGUUUGAGUUAAUUUCGAAUGAGAUUGUUUUUGCAACGAGAUGUUAAUAAGACAAAAUCUAGAAAUAAACCAUCCCCUGCCCCCGCCCCGUGGUCACGACUAAAUGUGUUAAAUGGGCUUGCCAACAAUAUGGAUGAUUUGAAGAUAAACACCGAUAUUACUGGUGCUAAAGAAGAACUCCUAGAUAACAACAGUUUUAUCUCAGACAAAGAGAGUGGAGUUCAUAAACCAAAAGAUUGUCAGACAUCAUUUCAGAAAAAUAAAACACUCACUCUGCCUGAAGAACUGUCAAAGGACAAAUCUGAAAAAGCCUUAAGUGGAGGCCAGUCUACUCUAUUUAUACAUGCUGGUGCUCCUACUGUUUCUAGUGAAAACUUUAUCUUGCCUAAAGGAGCUGCUGUUAAUGGACCAGUUUCACACUCCUCCUUAGCUAAGACUUCCAGUAUGAAUAAAGGCAGUGUUUCAUUAACCACUGGACAACCUGUGGAUCAGCCAACAACAGAAUCUUGUUCAGCUUUGAAGGUGGCACCUGAUCUUCAGCUAUCUACACCACAGAAAGCAAAUCAACACCAAGUUUUAUUUUUGUUAUCAGAUGUAGCACAUGCUAAGAAUCCAACCCAUUCCAUUAAAAAACUACCUACCUCUGCUUCUGUUGGUUGUGACAUUCAGAAUUCAGUAGGGAGUAGUGUAAAGUCAGAUAGCACUUUAAUAAACCAAGUAGAGGUGGGUGAGGAUAGUGAUGAUUUAUUGGUAAAAGAUGAUUGUGUCGAUACAUUAACAGGAAUCUCCUCAGGUACAGAUGAAUUUAGGUCAGAAAAUGAGACAAACUGGGAUCCCCAAAAAGAGUUCAUUCAGUUUCUUAUGACUAAUGAAGACACAGCGGAUAAAGCUCCAGUUCACUCCAAAGUAGGUCUAGAAAAAAAGAGAAAGCGGAAAAUGGAUGUAAGCAAGAUAACUCGUUACACUGAAGAUUGCUUUAGUGAUUCAAAUUGUGUACCCAAUAAGUCAAAAAUGCUAGAAGUAGACUUUCUAGAACAGAAUGAAGAACUACAAGCAAUAGACUCACAGAAAUAUGCAUUAUCAAAAGUGAAGCCUGAAUCAACUGAUGAAGACUUGGAAUCUGUGGAUGCUUUUCAGCAUCUAAUUUAUAACCCAGAUAAGUGUGGCGAAGACAGUUCACCCGUUCAUACUAGCACUUUUCUUUCUAAUACCUUAAAAAAGAAAUGUGAAGAAAGUGAUUCCGAGUCACCUGCUACUUUCAGCACCGAAGAGCCAUCAUUUUACCCCUGUACAAAGUGCAAUGUGAAUUUUAGGGAGAAGAAGCACCUCCACAGGCAUAUGAUGUAUCAUUUAGAUGGGAAUAGCCACUUUCGUCAUCUUAAUGUCCCAAGGCCAUAUGCUUGUAGAGAAUGUGGACGGACAUUUCGAGAUCGUAACUCACUUCUAAAGCAUAUGAUUAUUCACCAAGAAAGAAGACAGAAGUUGAUGGAGGAAAUUCGCGAAUUGAAAGAACUUCAGGAUGAAGGAAGAAGUGCACGAUUACAGUGCCCUCAGUGUGUGUUUGGUACCAAUUGCCCUAAAACAUUUGUGCAGCAUGCUAAAACCCAUGAAAAAGAUAAAAGGUACUACUGCUGUGAAGAGUGUAACUUCAUGGCAGUGACAGAAAAUGAAUUAGAAUGCCAUCGAGGCAUUGCCCAUGGAGCGGUGGUAAAAUGCCCUAUUGUCAGUUCUGAUAUAGCCCAGAGAAAAACGCAAAAAAAGACUUUCAUGAAAGACUCUGUUAUAGGAUCAUCCAAAAAAUCAGCUACCUACAUAUGUAAGAUGUGUCCUUUUACGACUUCAGCCAGAAGUAUUUUAAAAAAACACAUGGAGUACUUGCAUUCAUCAUCAUGUGUUGAUUCAUAUGGUAGUCCACUUGGACUUGAUAAAAGAAAAAGUGACAUUCUUGAAGAACCUAUAGAUAUUGAUAGCACUAAACCUUUAAUUAAACAACAGUCAACCACAUUUCCAAAGAACUCUGCUUUAAAACAAGAUGUAAAGCGAACAUUUGGAUCAUCCUCACAAUCAGGUAAUUUUUCCAAAUUCCAUAAGCGGCCACACAGAGUACAAAAAGCUCGGAAAAGCAUUGCCCAGUCAGGUGUAAAUGUGUGCAAUCAAAACAAUUCUCACAAGACUGUUAUGAUUAAAAGCAGCACUGACCAAAAACCUAGGUAUUUCCAUCAAGCAGCAAAAGAAAAAUCUAAUGCCAAGGCGAAUAGCAACUAUUUAUAUAGACACAAAUAUGAAAACUACAGAAUGAUCAAAAAAUCAGGUGAAUCAUAUCCUCUACAUUUCAAAAAAGAAGAAGCCAGUUCACUAAACUCUUUACAUCUGUUCUCAUCAUCAAGUAAUUCUCACAACAAUAGUUUUAUUUCAGACCCUCAAAACUCUGACACGAAAAGGCCAGAAAGCUUCAGAGAACACAGGCGUGUAGCUGUAAAGAGAGUAGUUAAGGAAUCCAAGAAGGAAAGUUCUGUUGGAGGAGAAGACUUGGAUAGCUAUCCAGAUUUCUUGCAUAAAAUGACUGUUGUUGUUUUGCAAAAACUUAAUUCUGCUGAAAAGAAAGAUAGCUAUGAAACAGAAGAUGAAAGUUCCUGGGAUAAUGUUGAGCUAGGUGACUACACUACACAGGCCGUAGAAGAUGAAACCUAUAAUGAUAUUAAUCAAGAACAUGUAAACUUAUUCCCGCUUUUUAAAAGCAAGGUAGAAGGUCAAGAGCCUGGAGAAAAUGCUACCCUUAGUUAUGACCAGAAUGAUGGCUUUUAUUUUGAAUAUUAUGAAGAUGCUGGAACUAAUAACUUUUUGCAUGAGAUACAUGAUCCUCAGCAUUUAGAAAAUGCAGAAACUUCAUUGUCAAAGCAUAGUUCUGUUUUUCACUGGACUGAUCUGUCUCUUGAGAAGAAAUCAUGUCCUUACUGCCCAGCAACAUUUGAAACAGGUGUUGGGUUAUCAAAUCAUGUUCGAGGACAUCUUCACAGAGCUGGAUUAAGCUAUGAAGCCCGUCAUGUUGUAUCACCGGAACAAAUAGCCACAAGCGACAAAAUGCAACAUUUCAAAAGAACUGGCACAGGGACACCUGUUAAGCGAGUUAGAAAAGCUAUAGAGAAGUCUGAAACCACUUCUGAACACACUUGUCAGCUCUGUGGUGGUUGGUUUGAUACUAAAAUUGGAUUAUCGAAUCAUGUUAGAGGCCAUCUGAAAAGACUUGGAAAGACCAAAUGGGAUGCUCAUAAAUCUCCAAUCUGUGUUUUGAAUGAAAUGAUGCAAAAUGAAGAAAAAUAUGAAAAAAUCUUAAAAGCAUUGAACAGUCGUCGUAUUAUUCCCAGACCAUUUGUAGCUCAAAAACUUGCAUCAAGUGAUGACUUUCUAUCUCAAAAUGUUAUACCUCUUGAAGCAUACCGUAAUGGCCUAAAGACUGAAGCUUUAUCAGUGUCUGCAUCAGAAGAGGAAGGGCUGAGUUUCUUAAAUGAAUAUGAUGAAACAAAACCAGAACUGCCCAGUGGAAAAAAGAAUCAGUCUCUUACACUGAUAGAACUGCUUAAAAAUAAAAGGAUGGGAGAAGAAAGGAAUUCUGCUAUUUCUCCUCAAAAAAUUCAUAAUCAAACUGCAAGAAAGAGAUUUGUUCAGAAGUGUGUUCUUCCAUUAAGUGAAGACAGUCCGUUGAUGUAUCAGCCACAAAGAAUGGACUUGACUAUGCACUCAGUAAUUUAUUUACAUUUUAAAAGGAAUUUGAAUACAGUGUGGCAAUUUUGACAACCAGCAAGCUCAUCAAACCUUAGAUUGUAAGCAAAAGAAAUCAAGGUCAAGAUCUGGAAGUAAGAAGAAAAUGCUAACGUUACCUCAUGGUGCUGACGAGGUUUACAUUCUCCGAUGCAGGUUUUGUGGCCUAGUCUUU